CCCUCUGGGGGCCCGAGUUGUAAUUUGAAGAGGAUGCUUUUGGCGAGGCGCCUUCCGAGUGCCCUGGAACGGGACGCCACAGAGGGUGAGAGCCCCGUAUGGUAGGACGCCGAGCCUCUGUAAAGCUCCUUCGACGAGUCGAGUAGUUUGGGAAUGCUGCUCAAAAUGGGAGGUAAACCCCUUCUAAAGCUAAAUAUUGGCCAGAGACCGAUAGCGCACAAGUAGAGUGAUCGAAAGAUGAAAAGCACUUUGAAAAGAGAGUUAAACAGCACGUGAAAUUGUUGAAAGGGAAGCGCUUGCGACCAGACUUGCGCCCGUCGGAUCAACCGUCCCUCGUGGGCGGCGCACUCCGGCGGGCUCAGGCCAGCAUCAGUUUUCCUGGGGGUAGAAAGGCGGUGGGAAUGUAGCUCUUCGGAGUGUUAUAGCCCGCCGCGUAAUGCCCUCGGGGGGACUGAGGACCGCGCGUAUGCAAGGAUGCUGGCGUAAUGGUCGUCAGCGACCCGUCUUGAAACACGGACCAAGGAGUCGUCCUAUUAUGCGAGUGUACGGGUGUAAAACCCCUGCGCGUAAUGAAAGUGAACGGAGGUGAGAGCUUCGGCGCAUCAUCGACCGAUCCUGAUGUUCUCGGAUGGAUUUGAGUAAGAGCAUAUUGGGCCGGACCCGAAAGAAGG
This 671-nucleotide ribosomal RNA is filed under the name Cephalotrichum gorgonifer. RNAcentral's name for it is "partial large subunit ribosomal RNA". It matches the Rfam family "Eukaryotic large subunit ribosomal RNA", at positions 126 to 826 of the family's 3401-position model. Lineage: Eukaryota; Fungi; Ascomycota; Sordariomycetes; Microascales; Microascaceae. The record is from RNAcentral.